UGGAAAAUUAAGGGCGUCCCAGUGUUUGCAGUUGUCGGGAGGGGUGAAGUAGACGAGGAAGGGGCAGUUGGACACACUAGCUGUACCUCACCUCUCUGACUUGAAACGGAUCUCGACUUCUGCCUUCCCUGUUUUAGCAUUAGGAGAGCCACCCCCUUUUCCCGCCCUCACAGUCUUCUCUAUCGAAAAUUGAAAAUCGUUAACUGGUGCCUUUCCCGGUACAGAGCCCCCACCUCAGCUGCUCCAAGUACUUACAAGGAUCCGCAGGGGGAGCGUGACACAGAGGGUCACGGAAAUGCUACCAAAGCAAUGCCAAGGAGGAUGUUCAUCUCUUGCCCGUCAAAAGUCUCUACAGCCUUGGUCCCGGAGGUACAUCCAGAACCUCUCGUCACUGCCACAUCCCUUCUAAGUUAUCAGCCGUCACUACUUGGAAGACGUCACCCACGUUCGCCGUGAAUCUGCUCUCCACCAAAUGCAAAACGGAACAACACAGCCUGGAACCCUGCAUUCUUCCUCCGUUUGCAUCCGUGUUCUAAAUAGGAUUUCAUUCACGUGUCACUGAACACCAAGGACCAUUUGUCUUUCCAACAGAAACCGAAAGGGCUUAUG
This 609-nucleotide long non-coding RNA is filed under the name Felis catus (domestic cat). Its description in RNAcentral is "lncRNA (ENSFCAG00000047874.1)". The record is from RNAcentral. Lineage: Eukaryota; Metazoa; Chordata; Mammalia; Carnivora; Felidae.